CACGUAGGGCGCAAGCGUUGUCCGGAAUUAUUGGGCGUAAAGAGCUCGUAGGCGGUCUGUUGCGUCCGCUGUGAAAUCUCGGGGCUUAACCCCGAGCCUGCAGUGGAUACGGGCAGACUAGAGGUAGGUAGGGGAGAAUGGAAUUCCCGGUGUAGCGGUGAAAUGCGCAGAUAUCGGGAAGAACACCCGUGGCGAAGGCGGCUCUCUGGGACGGUACUGACGCUGAGACGCGAAAGCGUGGGGAGCGAACAGG
RNAcentral lists this ribosomal RNA (253 nucleotides) under uncultured bacterium. Its description in RNAcentral is "partial 16S ribosomal RNA". It matches the Rfam family "Bacterial small subunit ribosomal RNA", at positions 524 to 776 of the family's 1533-position model. The record is from RNAcentral.